UACGGGAGGCAGCAGUGGGGAAUAUUGGACAAUGGGCGAAAGCCUGAUCCAGCAAUACCGGGUGAGUGAUGACGGCUUUAGGGUUGUAAAGCUCUUUUAGUGGAAAAGAUAAUGACGGUAUCCACAGAAAAAGCACCGGCUAACUUCGUGCCAGCAGCCGCGGUAAU
RNAcentral lists this ribosomal RNA (167 nucleotides) under uncultured bacterium. RNAcentral describes it as "partial 16S ribosomal RNA". It matches the Rfam family "Bacterial small subunit ribosomal RNA", at positions 340 to 524 of the family's 1533-position model. The record is from RNAcentral.